Molecule: ribosomal RNA, 465 nt
Filed under: uncultured bacterium
Lineage: Bacteria
Description: bacterial SSU rRNA
Rfam family: Bacterial small subunit ribosomal RNA
Source: RNAcentral
CCUACGGGAUGCACCAGUGGGGAAUAUUGCACAAUGGGCGCAAGCCUGAUGCAGCCAUGCCGCGUGUGUGAAGAAGGCCUUCGGGUUGUAAAGCACUUUCAGCGGGGAGGAAGGCGGUGAGGUUAAUAACCUCAUCGAUUGACGUUACCUGCAGAAGAAGCACCGGCUAACUCCGUGCCAGCAGCCGCGGUAAUACGGAGGGUGCAAGCGUUAAUCGGAAUUACUGGGCGUAAAGCGCACGCAGGCGGUCUGUCAAGUCGGAUGUGAAAUCCCCGGGCUCAACCUGGGAACUGCAUUCGAAACUGACAGGCUAGAGUCUUGUAGAGGGGGGUAGAAUUCCAGGUGUAGCGGUGAAAUGCGUAGAGAUCUGGAGGAAUACCGGUGGCGAAGGCGGCCCCCUGGACAAAGACUGACGCUCGGGUGCGAAAGCGUGGGGAGCAAACAGGAUUAGAUACCCGGGUAGUC